UACGUAGGGUGCAAGCGUUGUCCGGAAUUAUUGGGCGUAAAGGGCUCGUAGGCGGUCCAUCGCGUCGGGAGUGAAAAGCUGGGGCUUAACCCCAGUCCUGCUUCCGAUACGGGUGGACUAGAGGUAGGUAGGGGAGAACGGAAUUCCACAAGUAGCGGUGAAAUGCGUAGAUAUGUGGAAGAACACCGGUGGCGAAGGCGGUUUUCUAUCUUAUACCUGACGCUGAUGCGCGAAAGCAAGGGGAUCGAACAGG
RNAcentral lists this ribosomal RNA (253 nucleotides) under uncultured bacterium. RNAcentral describes it as "partial 16S ribosomal RNA". It matches the Rfam family "Bacterial small subunit ribosomal RNA", at positions 524 to 776 of the family's 1533-position model. The record is from RNAcentral.